UCCGCCCUUGUGUAAUGGCAGCACGCAGGCCUUUGGUGCCUUGAAGUCCGGGUUCGAAUCCUGGGGGCGGAGCGA
Molecule: transfer RNA, 75 nt
Filed under: Bowdeniella nasicola
Lineage: Bacteria; Bacillati; Actinomycetota; Actinomycetes; Actinomycetales; Actinomycetaceae
Description: Actinomyces nasicola tRNA-Gln
Rfam family: tRNA
About the family: Transfer RNA (tRNA) molecules are approximately 80 nucleotides in length.
Source: RNAcentral